GCAAAACGACAGUUUAUAUUAGUUUUUUUUGUUGUUUGUUUUCCCUUUCUAAUUGAACAAACACAAACAUACAAAAUUUUCGGUAUCUCUGCAUGAAAUGUUAACAUUAAUUUUAAAUAUUCUCUACAUUUGCUUUUUGUUUCUCAUUUUGUAUGCAAGUUGCCUUUUAUUAAUGUUACUUGUAUACCUUCUAUUUGGCUAUGAUAUGGCUGACGAAUACGAUGUUAUGUGAACUAAUAACAUCUAUAUACAUAUAUAUUGGCCAACUUAUUAUUCCGAUAUCCCCAGCUCAGAUUGAACAGACGAGAAAUUGCACUUUGUGUCCAGAGUUAUCCGUAGUCUCGACCGUAGACACUGUGUGUGUGUGUGUGUGUGUGAGUGAGUGUGUGUGUGAGUGUGUGUGUGUGUAGCAGCAGCUGCUGUCGUCUACCCCCCAAACCAUUCUCACCCCCCCAGAAAUAAAGGCUAAAUGAAGGUGGAGAUGGAGCAACAAAAAAAAAAAAUCGUGUGUUUUCUCCCCCCCACCUCUCCCUGUGCAAAUAGCAACAGAAAAAUAGAGAAAAAAGGAGGAAACCAAGAAGAGACUUAGAGAGAAAGAGCGAGCAAAAAGAAAGAAGAGACAGGAACAGAUCAAUGACCUGCAUUUCACAGCCUGAGACACAUUUCAAUCGAUAAAAGUGAAGAGUUGGGGCACGAGAGCACACACACACACACACACGCACACACACACACACACACACACACACAUACACACAUAUAUAUGGAGGCUAUGGCAAAAAACAACAUGGCGCACGGUGAAAUAUAUGCAAGCUCAAGCUCUUCCUGCAGGAAAAGCCAAAAUGGCAGCAGACAGGCAGAGCCCGAGACCGAGGCAGAGGCAGCGGCAGUGGCAGCGGCACUGGCAGUGGCAGCAACAACAGCAUGCGGCAAACGUGACGCAGUGCAGCAAAGGAAGAGAAAUCAAAACUCCAGAGAUGGUUAGAAAGAGAGAGAGAGAGAUAGAUGGCGGCUGUCGGUCGCUCGCUCGGUCUCGCUCCAUGUUCGGCAUUCGGUGGUUGCAGUUCCAUAAAAACAACAACAAACAAAAAGGGCAACAACA
Molecule: long non-coding RNA, 1099 nt
Organism: Drosophila willistoni
Lineage: Eukaryota; Metazoa; Arthropoda; Insecta; Diptera; Drosophilidae
Exons: 2
Source: RefSeq, a predicted model, not a curated record